GCCGUUGUAGCUCAACUGGUAGAGCAACUGACUUGUAAUCAGUAGGUUGGGGGUUCAAGUCCUCUCGGCGGCACCA
This 76-nucleotide transfer RNA is filed under the name Paenibacillus macquariensis subsp. macquariensis. RNAcentral describes it as "tRNA-Thr". It matches the Rfam family "tRNA". From Rfam's summary of the family: Transfer RNA (tRNA) molecules are approximately 80 nucleotides in length. Their secondary structure includes four short double-helical elements and three loops (D, anti-codon, and T loops). Further hydrogen bonds mediate the characteristic L-shaped molecular structure. tRNAs have two regions of fundamental functional importance: the anti-codon, which is responsible for specific mRNA codon recognition, and the 3' end, to which the tRNAs corresponding amino acid is attached (by aminoacyl-tRNA synthetases). tRNAs cope with the degeneracy of the genetic code in two manners: having more than one tRNA (with a specific anti-codon) for a particular amino acid; and 'wobble' base-pairing, i.e. permitting non-standard base-pairing at the 3rd anti-codon position. The record is from RNAcentral. Lineage: Bacteria; Bacillati; Bacillota; Bacilli; Caryophanales; Paenibacillaceae. RNAcentral also lists the same sequence under 1 other name.